GUCCAAGUAUAGCUCAGUAGCCCAUGUGGAGAUCAUUGUAAUUUGGCACUUAUCUUCCUUUUUAGUACUAUAAAGACUAUCAAGUUUCCGUGUUAAGAAAGUCCUCAGAGCGUCCUGCUCACCUAUAGCAAUAAACUUUAAGCUGAUCUCCUCAAAUGACACCAUAUAGUUUAUAUGAUCUAACGAAGCCCCUUGGGCUGCAAGAGUCAAGGUAGGGAGGGUGACUAUUGCUUUUCUUGCUUCUGAACCAUUGUCAGCGAGAUCUCUUUCUCGGUCGGAGGCAGUUGUUUGCCGGAUAUUACAAGGGGAAAGGAUACCGGAGUUCUGAUACUCUAAAGAUGUUUUACAUUAUGAUGAAAUAUGGGAUCCCCCAGCUUGACAAAGAAAACAAAAGGGAAAAGGCAAAAGAAUCAUGUUAAGCUUUAAAUGGUUGAAAGGACCCUAAUGUGUAUAUAAGCCAUUAAAAAAAGGGAAACAAAAGCAGAAAAGGACUUCCUAGAUAACAGCAGUUAAAGGUAAGAAGUUUUACCCUAAGUUAGAACCAAGAGCACAAGCAUUUUAAGACAGGAAGUAGAUGAAACUAAUUAUAUAAAUGCCUAGCUAAGUUGGAGUCAAACACAUUUGUUGAAAUAACAACUUCCAUAGCCUUAAUAUUUGUUCCAUACAUCAACCAAGCGCUACCAUCUGAUUCUAUCUAAAGAAUCUCCUUGAUUAUUUAAUACCAUUUAAUUCUUAGACAUCAGAUCCAUACAGUAAAGCUGAUGAACAAUGCUUUAGAUGACUUUAUCAAAUCUCAAAAGCGCGGAAUGAUAAACUCAUGGCUUUUAUAUUCUUUUAUCAACUCUGUGGCAUGCAGCAACCAUGCAACAGAAUAGAUAGUAGUGAUCAGCACCAGCAUGCUUGAUCUGUACUAGAAAUAUCAUCAUCCACCACCCUUUGAUUAUGUAGAAAAGGUACAGAAAAGAAAAAUUGAAACACUUAAAUCCAAAAAUCACUCAGAUUGAAUACAAAUAAUUAGGAGGCAAAUCAAGUCACUGAUUAAUAUAUCACAAAAAUAUGAAAAAAUGAUAUUAGAAAAUGAGGACUGACUCGUCCAUUGCAUGAAUCAGAGAUCUCACCUUUGCAUACAAGGAUGCUGCUCUCUCAAAAUCUUUUGCAGAAAAAGCAGCUUCAGCCUG
RNAcentral lists this long non-coding RNA (1178 nucleotides) under Phoenix dactylifera (date palm). RNAcentral describes it as "long non-coding RNA (PDAC_LNC002359)". Lineage: Eukaryota; Viridiplantae; Streptophyta; Magnoliopsida; Arecales; Arecaceae. The record is from RNAcentral.